GGCCGCCUGGCGUAAUGGCAACGCGUCUGACUACGAUAUGGAACGCGCGAAUUUCCAGUAAUCAGGAGAUUGCAGGUUCGACCCCUGCGGUGGUCA
This 96-nucleotide transfer RNA is filed under the name Polyporus arcularius HHB13444. It matches the Rfam family "tRNA". Rfam says of the family: Transfer RNA (tRNA) molecules are approximately 80 nucleotides in length. The record is from Rfam by way of RNAcentral. Lineage: Eukaryota; Fungi; Basidiomycota; Agaricomycetes; Polyporales; Polyporaceae.